AUGAUCGUCCUGGUAGUCUGUUGUUGCUGCUGAUUUCGUUCCUUCCUGAAAUUUCACUUGUUACAAGAUAGCAGUGCAACCUCCUGAGAUAUAACGAAGAGAGAUUUGUACAACCAGACGCAGAUUGAUGUAGCUGGCUAUGUGAGGCACUCUUUGAAAUUCCACAUGACACUGGUAAAUUACAAAUUUCCACCUUCACAGUACAAUAAACGAAGAUUUCUUACUGUUUAAGGCUAUGCGGAUUCUGGAGGCAUCCCUAUACCCCGCAGAGACCUGCUGCAUUGCUGAAAGCUGGGCAGCACAACGAUAAAGCACCUGAUCUGCAUGCUUUCACAAAGACUCCUCAAGGAUGGUAAGGAGGUUGAAACACAUCCUUGAUAAAACAAGUGGUGCCGGUGGUGCUGAGCCCAUCGCAGUCGUGUCAGCACCAAAAAGAUCUUGUAUGGUCCUGAAUGAUGUUCACCUAGUCAAGUUCAACGCCAUUAUUUCAAAGGAUGUAAGAUAACUUCAGCCUGACACUCCAUCUGGCGUACCCUUCCGACACCUACAACAUAUUGCACCGGACUGUUGGACCUCGAGGAAGGAAUCGUCCUUGAUGAGGCCACGCUGGCACGACUGCGGCGAGACGCAAGAAACUCAGGCUCAAGAUUUGCCCGGUGCCUCCUGAAGGUUCUUUUCAGCCAAGAAGAGUUAGAGCACAAGUCUCUAUUUGGGCGGCGUUCCAACGCCCAGCAGGAUGUCGCCCAAAGAGAGGUUUUGUACCAAAGGCGUGUGAACGCCAUUCCGAGUAUGUGUGACAGCACAGACAACUAAAAUGUUUGCUUUAAUUCAUAAUUUGAAGUUAAAAUCUUGUGGAUGACUCCUUUGUGCUGUCCUGCCCAGAUACACUGACAGAGACAUAAGGCUUAACUAACUCUUUUUACUUUUUCUCUUCCCUUAGGCUACACAGGAAGGCACUUCGACGCUGCGACAGGGGAGAUCAAAAACACGUUGUCACCGAUGCUCGCACGUGGGUUUUGAUAUGUGCUAAAUAAAUGUUAGUU
Dermacentor andersoni is the source of this 1043-nucleotide long non-coding RNA. RefSeq lists it as uncharacterized. NCBI's taxonomy places the organism in Eukaryota, Metazoa, Arthropoda, Arachnida, Ixodida, Ixodidae. The record is from RefSeq and is a predicted model, not a curated record.